UACUUCUACACCAUUUUCAAGAGACCUGAGAAAAGCUGGGUGAUUCAUGUGAAGAAAUGAGACAAAUAUUUACGCCUGUUUCCCAGAAUUUGGCAAUGAAGUGUUUAUUAUCUUUUCACAAGAAAAAGAACUUUACAAAGUAACAAUUCAACACCAGACUCAAACUCUUUUUAUACUGUUACCAAAUAAUGGAGAAGUCUGACAAUGGCGCCCAUUGGUGGGGGUGCUACAUUAACAUGUCCACGGGUUUGGCUCUCAGUGUGGAGCGACUCAUGAAGAAUGAGACAAGGACGUACAGGGAAUCAGAAAACUGGUCCUUCCUCAGGACAGAUGUGUCCAACAACCAUGGAGGGGGUGGAAUGGGUGAUUCAUUUAGUUUGGGUCUUUCUUUUAGCUCUGGGAAUCGCCACCACUAAAUAUGUUCUGAAAAUCUGAGGCCUUAGCAGGAGCUCCACUUCCUGAGGCUCUCACCUCGUGGCCUCCAUCUUGUUCCGUUACAAUGAUUAGUGAGAGCCGGACUAAGAACGGAAUUGGAGGCUGAUGGUUCAAAAGAGUUUGGUACCAAAACAUGUCGACAAGUAUUCUUUUCACAAACAUUUAUUUUUGCUUUGUGACCAAACUAUGUUGAGUAAGACACUUCGUCACCAAUGAAAAGGCAACCGUGUGUCUAAAUCAUAUCCAAAACCUUUGGGACUACUCGGCUUGUCACCCAAGAGGCUCUGGUAGCAGUUCUGGAGCUUUUCAGCGGUGUCACAUGAUCUCCUGCAGUGUUGAUCAGGGUCAAGUCCACCCUGCUCACAGUUAAGAUGAGGAACCCAAAGCUCUACUAAAGGACAUCGCUGUGUAACGGCUCUGCCAAUUCAUUUAAACCCAUCUAGGGCAUUUCCAUGACUCCAGAUCUAGUUGUAGCUUGCCUAAUACAGCCAUACCGUAACAGAUGAUCCACCCCCCCAUGAACAAACGCCCCGUGUGAAUGCAGUGAAUACACUUCUAACCCAUCUUUUCAUUGUCUGGAUAUACACUACCUCAACCACCCAGCACCAACAUCAAUACUUAUGCCGGCAGCCCAGCACACAGCGAUUUAUCAGUCAAGUUCUAAUCAAUGAGUCCAGAAAAAAAAAAGAGAACCUCACACAAUGGUGCAAUACUGUAUGUGAUGUAAAGCAGUAAAGGCCAGAUGAUGUGUAUCAGGCUGUCACUGACCAUCAUGCACACUCGAUGGAGUCACUCCGUUCUGUCCAUUCGUCGGUCUGUGUGGGGGUCGUGCACACUGAAGAAGACAGACGACGGGAGAGGGGCUUGUAUUUUCAGUGAUGUGGUUUUUCUUGAAAUGAACCCUGGAUUCUGCCCCAGCAGCCACUAGCGGCGAUGGUGCAGCCGUACGCAUCAUCAGAUCAGUGAGCUUCUCGUUUGAUGUGACGGGUCUAAUCUCCUCAGUCACAAUGUAAAGUAAAAAAAGAAAAGAAAAGAACUCAAGGCACAAACUAAUACUGCAGAAUGGAAUACGGUUCUUAAAGGCUCUGACUUCAGAUAUUGCUGUGAGGAAAAGCGACCGCCGCUCAUUACCAACCAUUUAGAGUUUAGCGCUCGUCUUCUGGACCCGAGUUGGGACCAUUUCCCACCUCAUGCUGGGAAGCAGCUCACGGACGCCUUUUAUUUCCUUUGCAACACAAAAACUGGUUGUGGAGCCACGAUGAUUGACAGCUGUGCUGAGCCAUGAGCGCAUCGUCGGUUUCAUGCUGAUUUGGGAAUUCUAAAACACUGCAAAUAACGUCACACUGUCAACAUUAGGCACCCAGAAUGCACCUGUUUAAAAACACCUGUGCACCAAUGAGCGCAUCGUCGGUUUCAUGCUGAUUUGGGAAUUCUAAAACACUGCAAAUAACGUCACACUGUCAACAUUAGGCACCCAGAAUGCACCUGUUUAAAAACACCUGUGCACCAAUGAGGUCACUGGCAGGGCAGCGCUUUGGCACUAAAAUAGUCUAGUGCAUGUGCUCCGAUACAGUAGGUUGUCUGUUUACUGCAUGCUACAGAUGAAAAUGCCCAAAGUGUAAUAAUAUCUCAGGUUGAUCUGUAGGAUGAUGCCGUUUGUUUGUUCAGAACUUGGCUUUCACCCAAAAAAGAAAAGCUGUAAGGAGAUGAAAAUGGACGUUCAACAAAUGAGCGAUACUUGAAUAUUUGUGGCUUCACUGACCACCGGCAGGCUGAACGGUGACCUCUCAGCAACAGGACAGCAAGGCCAACCGGGACCAGGGAGACCAACAGCCCAGUCCUCCACACGGGGAGCGGUAACGUCAUCAACAUGUCGAGCUCUAAACACAGGUUGCCAUGACGAUAGCUGCUGCGAGAAGGGGACGAGGUCUGGGCUACACCCACCAGGGCUUCAAGAGCUGUACGGGACCAUUUUACAGUCAGUCAGUCACCCCCCAAUGCAGUACCUUUUCCCC
Long non-coding RNA from Gasterosteus aculeatus aculeatus (three-spined stickleback), 2450 nucleotides. Lineage: Eukaryota; Metazoa; Chordata; Actinopteri; Perciformes; Gasterosteidae. The record is from Ensembl.